GCCAUCAUCCUGCUACCUAUGAGCCUUGUAGCAGCCCUGAGGUUCACGCUUGGCUGCGGGGGAUGGAGCUUCCUGUGGCACCUCUGCUGAAACCCGAAGGCUGAAAAGGUAUUCCUGUCGUCUAGCACAUUAACAGCAAACGCCAAACACCGAGCAUUUGUCUGUUUUGAAAUGAGGGCUCUUUUGUUGAACCUAUGUGGUGAACAGAUGAGCUUAACCUGGUCUGUUAGGCAGUUCUUAAAACCUCUGAUGACUUGGUCUAUGCACAUCAACCCUUGGACUUGGCCUGUAGACUCUGGGUCCUCCAGCUCAGCAUAAUAGAGUGUCCAUGCUCAUGACGACUCAUGCUUACAUGCCUACCCUGGUAGUAGUGUAGCAGCUACUGUGGCCUCUUUGUUGAAGGUUACAACCAUAAAAGGCAUUUUAAAACGAGUGAAAAUCUGUUCUUUGCAGGCCCAGUUCUGGGGCUCAUUUCAGUUCUGACAGAAUCCAUCCCUCAAAAGCAGACAUACAGUGGAAGAAAUGAGUCACGGUCAUUAACAAUGGACUGACACUCUGAAGCAGAGUUUCUCACCGUCAGCAUUAUUUGGCAUUUGGGCCAGGAAUUGAGUUGCCCCAGGAUGUCUUGUGCACUCUAGGAUGUCUGGCAAUAUUUCUAAACUGUGGUCACUAGACACCUGACUACCGUCUGCAUUCAUGACCAUCAGAAAAGUGUCCUGACGUGGCCAAACGUCCCACAAAGAGCAACGUCACCCUCCGUUGAGAAGCACUGGUCUAAAUUAUGGUCCAUUCACUGGUUCACUCUCCAAAGGGUGGCAAUGGCAUAGCUGAGCUGCUCUGAAGCUGGAAGCCAUGAGAUUCUUCCAAGGCUCCACACGGGGGCAGGGCCCCAAGGCGCUGGACUAUUGUCUGCCACUCUCCCAGAUAUAAGUAGCGAGUUGAAUGGGAAGUAAAGCAACCAGGACACAAACUGCUGCCCAAAUGGAAUGCUGACACCACAGGCAUAUACAUUCUAGGUGAACUUGAAGACUUCUGAAAGAAUUUGCAUGUUGCAGUAUAAACAGAACCUCAAUAUGUGGACAAUUUCAUAAAGCAGAGGACUGUCACAAGCUGAGAGAGGAUGAGAACAUCAAGACACCAAGAGGUUCGCAAAUGGUCUAAAAUCAUACAUCUAAUAAAUGGUAAGGGACAGAACUUUUUUGGGAAAAGUUGGCAUCAGUAAGGCUUGUUGGCUGUUAGUAUAAACCACUCUUUUCAAAGUUAAUCUGUCAAUGUUAAAUUUCAUAACAGA
This is a long non-coding RNA of Ochotona princeps (American pika), 1291 nucleotides long. RefSeq lists it as uncharacterized. The transcript has 5 exons. Lineage: Eukaryota; Metazoa; Chordata; Mammalia; Lagomorpha; Ochotonidae. The record is from RefSeq and is a predicted model, not a curated record.